This 775-nucleotide ribosomal RNA is filed under the name uncultured Neocallimastigales. RNAcentral describes it as "partial large subunit ribosomal RNA". It matches the Rfam family "Eukaryotic large subunit ribosomal RNA", at positions 16 to 645 of the family's 3401-position model. The record is from RNAcentral. Lineage: Eukaryota; Fungi; Neocallimastigomycota; Neocallimastigomycetes; Neocallimastigales.
CACGCACACACGCGCGGCAUAUCAAUAAGCGGAGGAAAAGAAACUAACAAGGAUUCCCCUAGUAACGGCGAGUGAAGCGGGAAGAGCUCAAAUUUGAAAUCUUAAAGGGUUUCCCUUUACGAAUUGUAGUUUAAAGAAGUGUUUUCUGUUGAGGUUUCGGUAAAAGUUCUUUGGAAUAGGACAUCAUAGAGGGUGAGAAUCCCGUAUUUGACCUUUACUUUCCAACUUUGUGAUACACUUUCAAAGAGUCGGAUUGUUUGGGAAUGCAGUCCAAAAUGGGUGGUAAAUUUCAUCUAAAGCUAAAUAUUGGCGAGAGACCGAUAGCGAACAAGUACCGUGAGGGAAAGAUGAAAAGAACUUUGAAAAGAGAGUUAAACAGUACGUGAAAUUGUCAAAAGGGAAGCGUUUGACACCAGUGUUGUUUUUCUGAAAAUCAAUUAAAGAACUGUUUAUGCUAAGUUGUUUAGACUUUAUCAGCUAACUGUUUAGUUUUGAGCUUUUCUUUAAUGCACUUUUCAGUUAACAAGUCAACAUCAAUUUCUUUUGCUGUAAAAAAGCUUGAGGAAGGUGGCUUGAGAUUCGUCUUAAGUGUUUAUAGCCUCUUGCCUAUGCAGUCGGAGAGAUUGAGGUCUGCAGCGUAGAUCCUUCGGGGCUAAAUGCAUUUGUGCUAAGUUAUAGCAUUUUAUAGACAACUUGUUGACUAUGAUUUGUCUUGUAGCUUACUCGCUUAUGUUAUUUUACCUACGCUUAGGAUGUUGAUCUCUCACAGUCGAGC